RNAcentral lists this transfer RNA (34 nucleotides) under Aegilops speltoides. Its description in RNAcentral is "partial tRNA-Thr". The record is from RNAcentral. Lineage: Eukaryota; Viridiplantae; Streptophyta; Magnoliopsida; Poales; Poaceae.
GCAUAAGUCAUCGGUUCAAAUCCGAUAAAGGGCU